CCCUCUUUCAAAAAAAUUAAAAGAAAGUGGAGACAGAAGUGUCACCAUCCAGCAGCAGGGGAUGUGGACAUCUGGGGGAGGAGAGCAUCAUGCAGAAGUUUUCGUUUCUACAAUGUUAAAUGUAUUCCAUGGGAAAACUUCAGCCACAGAAUUACUUGGGCCAUGCGGAGGGAGAUGGCAGCUCUGUCCCAACCAUUCACAGUGCGUGGUCUUCUACAGGAGUGAUUUGGGUUUGGUCCUGCCUUCAUCAGCAAGACACAGACACGAAUGGGAGGAGACCCCAAACUCCACGGUGUGGUUGAGGUUCCUGCAUCCAGGAGCAGUGGCUGUGGCACACAGGGACAGGGGCAAAGACAGGGCACACGCUGCUCUGCCCCAACUCUCCUCGGACUUGCUGUGGUUCACUGCAGGAAGCCCCAUCCCUAUCUGCCAACCCAGAGUGCCUAAGGGGCUGUGAUGGAGGCUCUCCUCAUCUGUACACAUCUCCAAUUCACAUCCCCAGGACUCAGAACCAGCACUCAGAGCCUUUUUCUGCAGCAGAGAGCACAGACUGAGCCAGGUGCUUGCAAAGAGCUUCCAGGAGCAUCCAGUGAAGCAAGGAAGGAGCUGCAACAUGUGCAGCUGAGGUCCCUCGUAUUGCACUUCCCAGCAGAAGUGCUCUGGGUCCUGCAAAGCUUCCUUCUGUGUUCCUUUGGAGUUGUUUUCCUCUGGAUGUACAGCCACAGAAACAUGCCGUGCACUAAGUUGAUGAAGCUUGGUUAAUCUUCUAAUAGGCGCAGCAGUGAUGGAUGGAAACCGUGCUGUCUUCCAGCUCAACUUAAAAGUCAAAUAAAAAUAAUCAUGCUGAUGGAAAAAUAUCAUUCUUCCAGCAAAGGCAGAUAAUAUAUGAUCUGUUCUAUCUGCCAAGCACCCGUCCCUGGUAAAGUUCCCAUGCGCUUCAGCAGGGGCAGAGUUCAGCUCACACUGUACACUCUCCCAUCCACCAUACACUGGGGCUUCAGUGUAAACAACCCGUGGAGCUUUUUCAACAUCUGCAUUAUUUCUAAUACAAUUCCCACACCAAGAGCUGUGCUGCAAUGGAGGCAGAGGUGGCCUGCAGCAGGGACUUCAGAGUGUGGGAUUCAGGGAGCACCUCCUACAGGUUGGAGUCAGCACACUGCAUUUACAUUGCAUGGAUCCUGCAAACAUGAAUUGCAAACUGUGCCUGGGGAGACUGAAGCUUUCUGCAGGGCUGCUGUGCUGCUGAGGGCUCUGCAAAGGGCAACAGACCCAGAAUUCAGGUGGGAUGAAGCUGGAGCUGUGCUCAGAGUGGGGAUAUUCAGCAGCGCUGUGCUUUGGUUUCGCUGUGAUGGCGCUUCACCAUGCCCCAGGUAAAUCAUCUCUAAUCCGAUUUGCUGAGCUCAGCUGCCUUCACAGCAGGAUGAGGGAUGGCAGGACAAGCCCAGCAGGUUAUUUCUGCCAUACUUCUUCCAUCGCUUCAUACCCACAGCAAAUGACACCUAUAUAUCUUGGCAGGAAAAUGAAACGUGGUGGGGACGAGUUUUUCUCCUUUCCACCAAAACCUCAAAGCUGAUGCACCAACACUGCCCACCCCAUCCUCAUCCCCAUGCAGGUUCCACACACAGCCCCAAGGGCUGAGUGAUGGAGAGGGGACCGCUCACAGCCACCAUCAUUGCUUCAAACAAACAGGCUGAGAGCUUAAUGAUUUCAAGGUAAAGCGCUUUUAUUAAGACAACACAGGGAACUUUUUUCAACCACAGCUGACAUCACUAUAAUAAAUCACCAUCAUGUCUUGUGGGAUUGAAAAAGCCAAAAUACUGUCAGAACUGAUUUUUCUGGCUACUCAUGCCUCCAGAACAAACCAUGUGUUUUUAAUCAACAAAUCUUUGUUUUGCAUUUCUAAGACCCUAGCACUCUUUAAAUAGUUAGCAUUUACCAGAGGGAUAUUUUAAAUUCAGCACACUGCUUCCUUACUGGAGAGAUUAGGAAACAGGACACCACAUUACAGACUUACCGGGCUUGUCCAGGGCUUUUGGAAAUUUGUUUUUGUUAUAUUUAUGCAGUACAGAGAAGGGCUUUCCCAUACUUGUUUCUAGCUUCCUUCAGCCAUUUCUCUCCCCAAAAUGAGGACGGCCUCUGCUUGCACAUCACAAUGCAUUGCGCCUUGUCCUUUGCCUGCAGAGGAUGUGGGCAUGGAGCAUCCCGGUGCCACCCUUGUGCUCACUUGUUUGUGUAAUUAGGGGUUCUGGGAAGGUCUGGGGGGUCCUGCUACAUUCUCAAGGUCGGGCUGAAACUGGAGCCACCAGGAUCCCCUUUCUCACCCUGCUGGACCCCCUCCUGUGCUGCCGGAUUGGCACAAAUGUCAGAGCUGAGAAUAACCCCAGGCCCAUGCCAGGCACAAAGAUGCCAGUGCCAAUCAGCUGCGUCCAGCAAGGGGUGGGUGAGCAGAGCUUAGGACAGGAGAUGAACACUGCUCCAUCUACAAAGCACGGCUUCUUUGGUGUGGGAAGGGCAGGGUGACCCAAUGGAGGAGACCCCACAGGCAGUGGGAUGGACAUGAGUGGAAGUUUGAUGUUGGAGGGAGUGCAGGGACCCUCAGGCUCAAGGUCAGAACUUCUCCCAGGGCAAUGCGUGCUGACCCCGGGUUGAGACCCCCCGCCAUCCCCAGACCCCCCUCAGCCACAUGAAAGCAGCCAGGAGCACGCAGCCAUGCGCUGCAUCACUCCCCCUCAUCCCCCCGAGAUCAAAGCCCACGCCGGGGGCCAGAGCAUGUGAGGGGCAGGUGUCCAUCCCCCCCACGGGCCACCAUUCAUCACACGCUGUGUCCCACAAGGAGAUCAAACCCGGCCUCCCGCGGCUGUUGGUUAAAGCCCGCCUUCCAGUUACCCUAAUUAAAGUUUUCUCCCGGCUGACUGCCGUCCCGUGAGCGCUUCUUUCACUCCCCGAAACAAAGGCUGCAGUGAGGAGCCCUCAUCCAGUGCCAGGACCGCUCUGUUUGCCUCCUUUUGAACUGGGACACUCUACUGGAAAGUGGCAUUUCCAAUUUGGGAGAAGCCAUGGAGCCGUGAAUCUUUGGAUUCUCCCCAGCCAAGAUCAUGGCUUUAUAAAGGAAAUCCAGGACAGAACCAAACCAAGGUGUCUAAAUGCAAGCUCGGUGCAAGCCACACAAUGAAGAAGCUUUAAGGUUUGCACCAAAGACCAGAAAUCCAUGCCCUGGGUCCGUGCUCUGCAAGAACCCAACAGAACCCAACAGGCGGUGCUGCCCCACGUUCUGCUCUUGGCCCUGCAUUACAAAUAACAGCUGCAAAGUUUGCUCCCUGCAGCACACGGAGGGAAGCGGGCAGAUAAAGGUCUGCACGACCUGCUGCUGGGGGAGAUGGUAUCUAAAUAGGAUUUUUGUUUAAAACCCAAGAUAAUAGCGAUAACGCUAAUAAUAAUAAUCCUAAUAAUCCCUCUUUUCAGGCUGCUUCAAAGCCCAAAUCUUAUCCUACACAAGAAAAUUAUUCUAAGCCUCAGAGAAUGCAUUGAAAAUUAAUAUUGAUUAUUAGGAAUAAUCAUCUGACAAGGAACGGCACUGCAGUGCCUGGGGAAGGGAUUCCUCCAGGGCCAGGUGAUAAUCACACUGCUCUUUCUGAGCAGUGCCCAGACCGGGUUAACCCCCUCUGUGCCAGCCCUGCUGUGCCUCAGGGUGCUGCAGUGCCUGGUUCACAGCCCCACACAAUGCGCUGCUAUGCCACUUAGUGCCACACAAAGCAAUGCUGAAAGGGCUUUCAGAACUCACCGUGUUGAGGCAGAAGUCUAUGGGAGAUGUUUAAUACUAAUUCUAUUAGGCAUCUGAGUUAAUGAAUCACAACUGUAAGAAAUCAUGAUAAUCCAGCAGGCAUUAGUGACAGAUUAGCUUCAAAGCUACCAUAAAAGUGCCAUAAUGCUUACCUAGCAGCAUGAUUAAUGCCAGCAAUACAUAAUGUCAUUAUGAGGAAUGGAGCGGCGUGGCGGCAGCUGACAACCCCUUUGCUCUGACCGUGGCCAAAGCAGUGCAGUGCUGAUAGAUCUCCAUAGGAUGGGUGCUGCUGGGGUGCUGAGCUCAUGGUCAGCACAUCCUCCAUAGCUGAGAUGCAACCAGAGCUCAUAACCCAUUGCUCCCAAGGAUCCCUAUAGGAGCUCCCUGCCCAGCCUAUGGACAGCAAGGUGCAGCACCACGCAUGGCAGCAGGGAUGAGGGUGGAACAAGUUGCUAUUGAAUGGAACUAGACUGCUCAUUACGGCUUUUGUUUUUCUACAUCUUUAUUGCUCAGGUUUGCUUAAUUCUGGAGUGGAUGCCUGCCAAAUUGUCUAUCAAAUUACCUACUGGCAAGCAAAACAAGAUCAGUUCACUUGAGUGCAGCCCUCUUCUAUUUGACUUAUAGCCAAGCAAAAUAUGGGCUUAAUCAAGGGAGAAAUUGGACAUGAUGUUUCAAUGAAAGAUAGCAGGGUACUGUCUGUUCAAUGGAAACAGGUGAAGACACGGCCUGGGACAGAGAGCACAGGUUUGGAUGCUUUGGUGCAAGAUGGGGCUGCUCCUGUGAGACAUGGCAUUUCUGUACCCACAGAUGAUGGGAUGUUUAGCUCUUCCUGCUAGUUUACCCUCUGCAGAGCCAUGCAGGUGUAUGAGGUCCAUGCACUGUUGCAGCAUCUCCAUGUCUCUAUUACAUGGCUCAAGCAAGUAGCUCACGAUGCUCCCUGUUCAAAGCCCCCUGAGAAUACCUACAAGAUGGUUGUACUGGAUGAUCUCACUGGUCUUUUCUAACUUCCAUGGUUUUCUGAUUCCAUGAAGAGCACAGAGCUUGCUUUGGAACAGAGCACUCUGCCUUGUUCCAGGGGUCCUCUGAGGGUUACACUGACAUUGCCCACCACUCCUGACUUGGAGGAGCACUGGGCUUUGAUUUCCACACUAUUCCCAGCUCCAGAGGUUCUGUCUCCAUUCCCAGGACACGUGGUGGUGUUUUCAGUCCCCGGCAACAUGGGAGUGUGGGAGAUUUCUCUUCUUCUUCCCCCUUCUUUGAUCUUUAGUGGUUUCCAGCACUCAUUCAAGCUCAGGAAUUUGACUCCUGAAGGCUAAAAACUGGAAGGUAAAUAAAAAUAACCCCAAAGUUAAUUAUAUACUUAACAAGUCAUGUUUUUUUUAAGCCUGUCUCAUUCCUUGUGGGGGUCUGACUCAUGGUUCUGAGCACUUGCA
This is a non-coding RNA of Coturnix japonica (Japanese quail), 5214 nucleotides long. NCBI's taxonomy places the organism in Eukaryota, Metazoa, Chordata, Aves, Galliformes, Phasianidae. The record is from RefSeq and is a predicted model, not a curated record.